This is an RNA transcript of Vitis vinifera (wine grape), 4446 nucleotides long. It is a transcript of the gene named cyclin-dependent kinase G-2, with no coding region annotated. The record is from RefSeq and is a predicted model, not a curated record. NCBI's taxonomy places the organism in Eukaryota, Viridiplantae, Streptophyta, Magnoliopsida, Vitales, Vitaceae. The transcript is spliced from 7 exons.
AACCACACGAUAACGCGUAUCAGAAAGUUGGAGGCGGUUUCUUUUGCGCGUCUCCUACUCUUCGUGGCGGUUUCGCUCUUCGAUCGGUCUUCGGUGAGUGUUCUUUUUCAUCUCGUGAUUUCCCUGGGGAGAAGAAUCAGUGCGGAAUACGGUUCUAGGGCUUUUUUUUUUCGAUACUCGAUUCUUUGGUUCUCGAUAAAUUUUCCCUUUUUCUUGUUGGGCUGUCGAUUUUUAGGGUUAGGGUUAGGGUUUUCCUCCCAAUUCUUGGCCUUUUGAUUACAUGGCGGCUGGAAGAGUCGGUGUUUCCAGGAGGAAUGAUUUUUACAAGUACUCCAAAAAGGAACAUGAUUAUCAUAGAAACCCUAAUCGUGGUGUGGAGUUGAGUCGAGAUCGCGAUCGGGGCGUUACGGGUAGGAAUGGGUUCGAUUCGUUGUCGAGGGUGAGCAGUGAUGUUGGUGGUCGUCGUAAUGUGUUCCGUGUUAGGAUCGGUGAAAAAGAGCUUGGUAAGUUAUCCUCUGGGCGUAAAAUUGGAUCUCAGAUGGUGGAUAGUGAGACUUCUGAGGUUGAUAAUGGGGUUAAGAUGAACUGUGAUAGGAAGAGGAAGUUUUCGCCUAUUGUGUGGAACGCGGAGAAGGAAGUGAGGAUUUCGUCUAAGAAUGGGGUUGUAUCUAUGAGCACUGCGUUGUCUCAUCCUAAAUUGUUGGGUGAAGUUGUUUCAGAUGAGGUUGUUGCGGUGCACAGUGAUGCUGAUCGGAUUCAGUGCUUGCAGUCUUCUAUUAUAGAGUCCCAUGUGGUGAGCGGCUCUGCUGAAACUGCUGUUGUGGAGCCUCCUGCAUGUUUGUCUUCUCUGAUGCCUGGUCAGCGCUGUGGGAGGAGUGGUGAAGAAGUGGAGCAGCUGGAGGAGGAAGUUGUUUGUUCCUGGAAUAUCGCCACAUCUAGGUGGGCAUCUGAAAGUGAUUCUCCAAGAGAAAAAUGUUUCUCUGAUAAUGGAAAUAUGCCGAAGCGAAGUAAAAUGAGUUCUCCUAUGGAUUCACCUUCAAGAACUCUAUUAGAUGGAAAGGCAUCCAGUCCUGAGAGUGGGGAGUUUCAAAGAGAAGACUCAGAAGGAGAUAGGGCUGAAUCUUCUGUAACCGAUGAAGUUGGUAUUUUCAUAGGGCGUGCUGGUGGAGAAGAAUGUUCUGGAAAUGAAUUAGACAACAAUGAUUGUAUGGAAAUCAAUGACGGUGAGGAUGAGACUCGUGUUGAUUAUCAGUCGGGCUUGGAUUCUGAGGAUGGUAAUGAGGUUCAUCUUCCAGUAGAGUCGCUGCCUCCCCCACAAAGGAGUGUAAACAUGCUUCAGGAAUGUAGAAGUGUGUUUGAAUAUGAUAGGCUCAAUAAAAUAAACGAAGGUGCAUAUGGUGUAGUGUAUAGAGCCAGGGACAAAAAAACGGGGGAAAUCGUGGCAUUGAAGAAAAUGAAAAUGAAGAUAGCAGAAACAGAUGGUUUCCCUAUGUCAGCUUUGAGGGAAAUAAACAUUCUCUUGUCUUUUCAUCACCCCUCGAUUGUGGAUGUUAAAGAAGUUGUUAUGGAUGACUUUGGUACUGUUUACAUGGUUAUGGAGUACAUGGAACAUGACCUUAAGCGGCUGAUUGAAUUGAAGAAACGGUCUUUCUCUUUAAGUGAAGUUAAAGGCCUGAUGCUACAGCUGUUGGAGGGUGUCCAGCAUCUUCAUCAUAAUUGGGUGCUACACAGGGAUUUGAAGACAUCAAAUCUUCUUUUGAACGACAAUGGUGAGUUGAAAAUCUGUGACUUUGGGUUGUCUCGCCAGUAUGCAAGCCCAUCUAAACCAUAUACUCAGUUGGUGGUCACUCUAUGGUACAGGGCUCCUGAACUUCUGCUGGGAACAAAACAAUACUCAACGGCAAUUGACAUGUGGUCUGUGGGUUGUAUAAUGGCUGAACUUUUAGCGAAAGAGCCACUAUUCCAAGGGAAAACUGAAUUGGAUCAGCUUGACAAGAUUUUUAAGAUUCUUGGAACACCCAAUAAAACGAUUUGGCCAGGGGUUUCCAAUUUGCCUGGAUUCAAAGCCAACUUUGUCAAGCAACCGUAUAAUCUGUUGAGGAAGAAAUUUCCAGCUACAUCUUUCACUGGAUUUCCAGUUCUCUCUGAUUCAGGGUUUGACCUGUUGAGCAAACUUCUAACCUACGACCCUGAGAAGCGAAUAACCGCAGAAGCUGCAUUGGACCAUGACUGGUUUCAUGAAGUACCCCUUCCCAAAUGUGAAGGUUUCAUGCCUUUUUUCCCUGCUCAACAUGCUCAGGACAGGCAUCUGCAGAGAAUAAUUGACAGCUUGCAUCCUAUAGAAGAGCCAUGAAGCAAGAAUUUCCUGCAAGGGUCGCUGACUCUGGUGGUUUGUUCUUAAGAGAUGGAAAUGGCGGAUGAUCAUCUGUUCAUAUCCUUCACAUAUUAUUUGUUUACAGAUAAGCAAUUUUGAGGUGAGAUACUGACAUUGUGUACCAAGUUGUGAAAACUUUUAUUGAGGAAUUGAUAUUUUGGCAGACACAAAUGCGAUGUGUUGCAGAAAUUAGCAUCAUGUCAGCAAGAUUGAUUUAAGGAUGGUUUUGUCCCUGGCUAUGUAAUUGUUUGAUGGUCCCUUGUGCUUGAAUCUCAAGAAAUUACUGGUAUAAGUCAAUGACAAAGUGGAGGGAGCAUUCUUGGCGUUUCAUACCUGGACAACAGAUAACAUUACAUCUGUAAGUUGUUUUACUGAUAUGAUAUUUGUACCAUGUCAGCAAAUAUCAGGAUUUUGUCUUCAUGAUGGAUUCUUUUCUAUUAUAAUCAAGGUGAUGACCAUAGGUCCAUUCUUCCUGGUUUUCUGCUGAAACAUAUGCAAGUGACGGCACAUCUUGCUGCAUCCUCACAUUGUGGAGUUGCAAGGGAAGUUUUAUCUUUGAAUUAUAUUCACCUGCUUAUUUAUUUAUGUUCACUUGUGAUGCUUCAACUGGUACUUUUCGUGAUUAUUGUCAACAUCUUUUCUAAUCAGUUAAAGAUAGAAUUAAGCAGAUUGACCUAUCAUAAAAAGAUGGUAACAAGUAAAAUCAAAAUGAGAUGCAAUUGCCUCAACCUCACCCUGAACCCCCAAGGAGGAAACCUUUAUAAAUAUGUCAGCAAUUUGAGUGAAUAGACAUGGUGGUGCCAGGAUAACGUUCCAAAUUGACUUGUAUUAGAUUUGAUAUCUUUAAAAAGGUGGUUGGUUGUGUUGCUACUUGUCUCAAAUAGAUGUUUUGUAUUUAUGCGGUUCCACUUUGUUUUAUUUAUUUAGGGGAAAGGCUGUACCAAAACUUUGCCUAUGCAUUCAUAAAUUCAUUUGAUUUUGUCCUGGUUCAUGGGAAUAAUACUUUCAUACCUGUCACAUUCCUGCUUAGGUUAACAUUGCCCGUUGUACAUAGCAUUUUCUAGUUUGGUGUUGGACAGAACUUUGUGAAGGCAAAUGACGGGAGGACUUGUUCUAGCAUUACAGUUGUAAGUUAUUUCAGGUUCAGAAGUCUUACACAACGUUCUUAAAAUUUGUUCAGCAUCUUCUUUUCCGUUUAUUUAUUGGUUUUGGCUGGUGCUGCCUGCCCAUGUAAGGUCCAAGUUCUCAACCAUUCCUUCAUAGUAACAAAAUUAUCAUGCGUUUGAAGCAAUGGAGGUUGGCAAGCACUCGGCUUGCUCAAUGUGAUCACUUGUAAGGUUUCCCCUUUUUAUGCACAUCUUCAAUUGCACUAUUUUCCCCUGGUGCUUAUUAUGCAUUGGAUCUCAAUACUUGGAUUGAAGGUACAAAACCCAUUGCCUGCAUGCUAUAAUUAUCAAAUACUCGAUUAUUUUAUUACUUGAGAUCUCUGUUGAUAUUUUUGCCAUCUAAAAAUUACUAAAUAACCUAAAUCUGUGUCAACUCCCAAAAAAUGAUGACAAAUCAAUACUAGGCAUCAUUCUUUUGGCUAUUAUUGGUUUUUUUUAAUCAUUUUCUAUUUCCCGACAGAAUGCUGUCAAAUAUCCUUUCAUUUCUAUUCCUUUUUAGUAAUAAUUGAAUGAUUUUUGGUUUCUCUGUGUUCAUGUGUCUUGUCUCCACUUAACCUCUGUGAUUGAAUUUAACGAGUACAGAAAAGGGAGUGGAUGAUCUCCGAUUUUACUUUUUCUUCUAACUUCCUGAAUUUGUUAUUAUCUCGGAACUUUGAUAUUCAGCUUGAGGGUGAUGAUGCCAAAAAGAAUAAAGCAGGCCGAAAGAAUGAUAGUGAUGGAUGACGGGGCAUGUAGAAUGUCCCAGUGCGAUUUUGAUAUUAUCUUUUUGUGCAAGUGUUGAAACAAGUACUUGAAAGUUCUACCGAAGGCUGAUCUAAAAUCUAGGAUGUGUUUUAUGAAAUUUUGGUGACAGUUAGGUCCAAAUUAUUAGUUAUCAAAUGGAAAGGGUGUGGCUUUUUAUUUUUA